Molecule: long non-coding RNA, 280 nt
Organism: Acanthochromis polyacanthus (spiny chromis)
Lineage: Eukaryota; Metazoa; Chordata; Actinopteri; Pomacentridae
Exons: 2
Source: RefSeq, a predicted model, not a curated record
CAGCGCAGGGACCUCCGUAAUCUGCUGCCCUAUGAUGAUCAGAGAGGAGGCGGAGCCAGUGACCUGUACUACCAAUCAGACAACUGGAGGGGGCGGGGCUUAGAUCAUGCUCUGCAGCGAUUGGUGGAAAAAAUCAGCGGAGGGAACAGGAGGAGGAACAGCGAGCAGCCUACCUGGCCGCUCUGCUCCGCCUCCUGAGCGAAGCACAGAACGCAGGAUUGGUGGGUCCAGGCGACGUGGAGGUGGUGGAGGUGGAGGAGGACGAGGAGGACGAUGAGGG